Molecule: ribosomal RNA, 319 nt
Filed under: uncultured eukaryote
Lineage: Eukaryota
Description: partial 18S ribosomal RNA
Rfam family: Eukaryotic small subunit ribosomal RNA
Source: RNAcentral
CCCUUAGAUGUCCUGGGCCGCACGCGCGCUACACUGAACGGAUCAGCGCGUUUUCCCUUCCCGAGAGGGACGGGUAACCUGCUGAACCCCGUUCGUGGUAGGGAUCGGGGCUUGCAAUUAUUCCCCGUGAACCAGGAAUGCCCAGUAAGUGCAAGUCAUAAGCUUGCGUUGAUUACGUCCCUGCCCUUUGUACACACCGCCCGUCGCUACUACCGAUUGAAUGGUCCGGUGAAAUCUCGGGACGGCGGCUUGGUCGCUUGCGUCCGACUGCUGAAACUUGAUUAAACCAUAUCAUUUAGAGGAAGGUGAAGUCGUAACA